AUGGCUUCUCUCCCAACAAUGAAGAAUAUUUCCAAUGCUGAGAGUGCCUUCAAAGCAUCCAAGAAACACAAAAACAAGAAAAUGAAAAAGGAAAAAAAGGAUAAGAGCAAAAAGCGUGUGCCUGACUUUUUGUUGCACGAUGGCUGCCAUGAGGCAGUGUUUACACAAAUGCAAGACAUCAAGAAAAGAAAAAAGCCAAAGAAGAAAAGCAAACCGAAGGAAGACUUUCCGCAACCUAAAUUAAAUAAACAGCUCAAACAACCCGAAGAUAUGCACCAAAUUCAGCCUGUUAUCUACAUCUCCCCUGAUCAGGAGACACUACAUUCAACUGAGAAGGAGUGUUAUAGAAGCGUGAAAUGUAAAAAGAGAGUAAUUUUCAACUUGCUACCUGAGCAGAGCCAAGCUGCAAAGACAAAUGAUGAAGAAUUCAGAAAGACGAGCCACAGCAAACGUUUUGUUGGUGAAAGCAGCUUGGAAUCCAUCACAGCUGAAGAAAUGAACAGCCAAGACCUGUUUAUUACACAGAAAUCAUUCUUGGAUCCAUAUGUGGAGAUCUCCAGCACCUCAAGCUGCAGUGAGGCCACUACCGUGAAGGUGCCAGAGAAUCGCUCAUCUAGGUCGACAGCUGAAGCAACCACUCAAACCGAAAACUUCUUUACCUUACCAGCACUCACCACCUCUCUCAGGUUUCAGCAGCAGCAGAACACAUGCAAAAGCCCAGAGGAACCGGUAGACCUGAGCCUGCUGAACAGAACAAGACAAAUGCACGGCCCAAAACAAUCCGCUGUAGAUUCUGCGAAACCACCCAAGCUGAAGAUAUCAGACACGUCAAGUGAAGACGGCGAUAUGGUGCCAAAGGCCAAAGGUGAUCUGCCCCAGCUGAAGGUCAUCCAGACCCGCUUGAACGAGUCUUUCUUUUUUAAGGUGAAGGGCGAAGAUUCACCCAAGCCCAUAUGCCCUUUGAUGAAGCUCACGGAAAGUGUUGAGAAAAAGAUGAAGUAA
This 1002-nucleotide long non-coding RNA is filed under the name Sinocyclocheilus anshuiensis. RNAcentral's name for it is "lncRNA (ENSSANG00000030451.1)". Lineage: Eukaryota; Metazoa; Chordata; Actinopteri; Cypriniformes; Cyprinidae. The record is from RNAcentral.